UCCAGUGUCACAUGACUCCCCCAGAGUCCUGAUAUGGCCAUCAAUCUGGUCCUGAACCUGGGAGCGUUAGACCGGCGCCACCGAACAAUCUGCAGCAGUACAGGUUUCUAAGGCGAACCACAGCUCAGAGCCACGAACAGUGAGUAAUGAUAAUGAUGCUGAUAACAGCCGUGGUUACACAUCAAUGGCAGGUAUAGGAAGGUAGUGAGUGUGUUACGUCAUUGUGGUGAUACAGAGAUGGUACAGAGCAAAUAUUGAAAAUUCUGAAUACAAUUAUAAUACUAUGGGUUAGCUAUAAAUCUGUCAGCACGACCAUAAUCGGACAGAGUAAGCAGUCCUGCUGGUACAGAAGAGAUGAGAGGGAAGAAUAGUGUUCACCCUGUCAGCUCUUCAGAGGAUCAGCUUUACCACGGUCUGCCCCUCCACACACAAGUCUCUCUCCUUGCUGAUCUGAGUGCACUGCCACCUGGUGUCCAAUCAAAGUGAAGCUCUCACGGUGCUCCUCGAGGUGCUUGGGACAAUGGCCAGUCCUUUCAUCAUCUCAGGAAUACUCUCAGGAGCUUGAAAGGAGGAUGACAACAACAUCACAGUGGCGGUGGGGACAGCAUCAGAGGCAGAGGAUGGUGUUCUGGUCAGAAUGUGGAGAAGAUAGAUGCAUUGUCCAUCAUUAUCAACCAGAGGAGCAGAAAACACUGGUGGGUAGAUGAGAGACAAUAUGAUUGAGUCAUCCUCGCUUCACACCUGUUUUUUUCCCAGUCAUAUUGAAUCAUAUGCUGAGUGCCCAAUGUUCGUUCACACACACAUAUUGGUACAUCACAAUUACUUAUUUGUUCUUAUUACAAAAGUGGACUUAAAAGCCUGUAGGUGAAUAUUGCCAUCUAAUAGCUGGAGAUUGGUUUACAGCAGAGAAAGUGCAAACAGUGCAGUCAGAUGGGGGUUACAAACUCCUCUGAGUGUAACCCGAGUAUAGUGGCCUAUUUUGGUCCUAUUCAGUGCU
This is a long non-coding RNA of Oncorhynchus tshawytscha (Chinook salmon), 997 nucleotides long. RefSeq lists it as uncharacterized. The record is from RefSeq and is a predicted model, not a curated record. The transcript is spliced from 3 exons. NCBI's taxonomy places the organism in Eukaryota, Metazoa, Chordata, Actinopteri, Salmoniformes, Salmonidae.